CAGUAGCCACGGGAAUACGUAGGUGGCAAGCGUUGUCCGGAAUUAUUGGGCGUAAAGGGCUCGCAGGCGGUUUCUUAAGUCUGAUGUGAAAGCCCCCGGCUCAACCGGGGAGGGUCAUUGGAAACUGGGAGACUUGAGUGCAGAAGAGGAGAGUGGAAUUCCACGUGUAGCGGUGAAAUGCGUAGAGAUGUGGAGGAACGCCAGUGGCGAAGGCGACUCUCUGGUCUGUAACUGACGCUGAGGAGCGAAAGCGUGGGGAGCGAACAGGAUUAGAUACCCCUGUAGUCCCUGUCUCUUAUAC
RNAcentral lists this ribosomal RNA (301 nucleotides) under uncultured bacterium. Its description in RNAcentral is "partial 16S ribosomal RNA". It matches the Rfam family "Bacterial small subunit ribosomal RNA", at positions 509 to 807 of the family's 1533-position model. The record is from RNAcentral.